GACGAACGCUGGCGGCGUGCUUAACACAUGCAAGUCGAACGGAAAGGCCCUGCUUUUGCUGUGUGCUCGAGUGGCGAACGGGUGAGUAACACGUGAGUAACCUGCCCUUGACUUUGGGAUAACUUCAGGAAACUGGGGCUAAUACCGGAUAGGAUCUCCUGCUGCAUGGUGGUGGUUGGAAAGUUUCGGCGGUUGGGGAUGGACUCGCGGCUUAUCAGCUUGUUGGUGGGGUAGUGGCUUACCAAGGCUUUGACGGGUAGCCGGCCUGAGAGGGUGACCGGCGACAUUGGGACUGAGAUACGGACCAGAAGGCUACGGGAGGCAGCAGUGGGGAAUAGUGCACAAUGGGCGGAAGCCUGAUGCAGCAACGCCGCGUGCGGGAUGACGGCCUUCGGGUUGUAAACCGAUUUAGACUGUGAAGAAGAGUGAGUGACGGUAAUGGGUAAAGAAGCACCGGCUAACUACGUG
RNAcentral lists this ribosomal RNA (468 nucleotides) under uncultured bacterium. RNAcentral's name for it is "partial 16S ribosomal RNA". It matches the Rfam family "Bacterial small subunit ribosomal RNA", at positions 28 to 507 of the family's 1533-position model. The record is from RNAcentral.